CAAGGGUGGCUCUAUAAGAAGGAUAAUUCUUUUUUCAAUAACCUAGCUUCUUACAGAAGAAGCACUCUGUCUGGCUCUUGUCAACUUUUGAUGGUUUGCUCUGUUUGGGAUCGACAGCAUGAGAUUUUUAUACCUUUUUCUUCUUUCCUCUCUUAGAGGAUCGAUGCCCUACAGAUGAACCUCCCACUAAAUUCAUUAGCUCCUUUUGGAGCUGG
Molecule: long non-coding RNA, 215 nt
Filed under: Elaeis guineensis (African oil palm)
Lineage: Eukaryota; Viridiplantae; Streptophyta; Magnoliopsida; Arecales; Arecaceae
Description: long non-coding RNA (EGUI_LNC063311)
Source: RNAcentral